RNAcentral lists this long non-coding RNA (549 nucleotides) under Oryzias sinensis (Chinese medaka). RNAcentral's name for it is "lncRNA (ENSOSIG00000001933.1)". The record is from RNAcentral. Lineage: Eukaryota; Metazoa; Chordata; Actinopteri; Beloniformes; Adrianichthyidae.
AUGCCGGGACCUCAGGGCCCAGCGGGACAAGUCGGCCUGCCUGGAUUGAAAGGUGAUAAGGGUGAAGUGGGACAAAGGGGGGAGCCUGGAGAGAUGGGGUACCAAGGUGAUAAGGGAGCUCUUGGUGCACCUGGACCUCCUGGGCCCAAAGGGAUGCCAGGACCAUCGGUAUGUCGAAUGUCUCUUUGCUUCCUUUAAUUCUUUAAUAUCUAUCUCUAGGAACAUCUUGCAGCACUUUGUUUCUAUGUUUACCCCCCAUCAGUUCUCAUAAAAACCUUCAACACAAAGAGACUUGGAAAUUCAAACCAAAGAUUUUAGUAAAAGGAUCAUAGCACACUUGGUCUAACGUCUUAUACACUCCUUAUCACCUUUUUUACAGUAUUCGGAGCCUACUUAGCUACAUUCAGGUGAAGAUGGGGCUCACUCUUUUCAUUGCAGGCCACACAGAGACAGACAACGCCAAACACAUUCACACAUAAGGGAUCACUUAGAAUCUUCAAUUAAGCAAUGAAGCAUGUUGUGGACUAUGGGAGGAAGGCAGAAUGCUCA